AUGCUAUACUGGUCAACGUUGCACUGCAACCCUUGGGGCUUGCUCACUUUACCCAAGCAUAUUUUAAGCAUUUUGCUAAAGGAGAAUUUGAU
Molecule: non-coding RNA, 92 nt
Filed under: uncultured Streptococcus sp.
Lineage: Bacteria; Bacillati; Bacillota; Bacilli; Lactobacillales; Streptococcaceae
Description: preQ1-II (pre queuosine) riboswitch
Rfam family: PreQ1-II (pre queuosine) riboswitch aptamer
About the family: Q is a hyper modified nucleoside present in some anticodons in tRNAs (Try, Asn, Asp and His).
Source: RNAcentral